UUACGACGAAAUAUCCUCCUUCGCUUUUACGACGAAAUUAUUUCCUCGCUAUCUUACGACGAAUUAGCGAGGAUAUAUGCGUUACGACAAACGUAUAACGACGAAACGGGUUUCCUCGCUAAUUCCUCGUAACACUGCUUUUACGACGAAGUAACGAGGAAAACUGCCCUCGUAAAACUUGUGUUUUCUUGUAGUGAUAAUAGGAAGUGUUGUGAGUGGAUUAGGCAACGGAGUAAAAACAAGUAGUAUAUGUGUUCCCCUUAAAGCUUGUUAUGAAAUACAUCACUCAUCCUCAUCCACACAUCACUUGUCCACGUAUAUUCAAUCUACAAAUCAUCCAUCCACGCCGUCCACAAAUCACACAUCCACAUAUUACCUGAGUAUCCACAAGUGUCGUUUUUAGUAUGGGCAAAAUUAUUUACAAUCUGUCAUUAGUCCACAACAAAGUGUGUCAUAUAUAAAAAUGUCUUUAGAUGUAAUAGAAAGUAAAAAAAUGUCAUUGAGUAUAAUCAACUCUUCUAUCAAUAGCAUUUCUACACUUCUAGUAUUCAAACUGCUGAAAAUACAUGGUCUAGUAACGUUGUAUGACGGCGUCAUCUACUUCUACUUGUGUUAAAAAUAAUGCGCCGUAUUGAUCAAUUUUGAUAUAUUUACAUGUCAAAUGGUUACGUGCUAUGUUGUAAAUUUUCUAUAGCUAAUGAAUAUUAGGUUACUUGACCCAAUUUGUAGUCUCGGCCAAUGAAAGAACAAAAAUGUGGUUAUUUAUUUCAGACGUGGCUUCCCACACACUUUGAUUAUGGAUUACAAUAAUGACACACUUGCUUUAUGAGGAAACAAAACCCUGACUCAGUCAUAUGACUCGUUGUCUCCUUCCUUAUUUAUUCCCGAUUGAGCAAACUCUAGUCUCUACUUCAACUUUUCCGUGUCUAGAAAUGGUUUCCCCAAACAAAAACGAUAAGAUUCACAUGCUUCCGAUUUCAGACGCAUCGUCAUCUUCAUCUCAGACUAGGGUUUUCACUUCCAGGACUCGUAGCGUUCCUCUCUCAAACCCUACUGAAGAAACUGGCAACUCGAAAGCUGCGACUUUAGGCUACGCAGGUUCUCUUCCGAGCCAACGUCCUCCUUUAUUCCCAAUGACUGGCCCUCUUUCCUCUUCUACUCGAAGAUCUUCUGGCUAUUUUGGUGACCUGGAAGAGGUAAACUCCUCAGACAACGAUGAGUUAUUGAAACACGCACAUCGCCUGAGAUCUGGAAAGCUGGGGAUGUGUAACGAUCCUUACUGUACCACUUGCCCUUCUAACUAUAAUCCCAAAGCAUCCCGGCUUCCCAAUCCAACUGUUUCUGCUUCCACGGUAUGUUUGAUUUUACCCUAACAGCACUAAAUACGCUUGAGACUCGAGAAAAUUUUGCUGACAUGGAGUUUUUUUUUUCUUUUUCAUAUUAGUUCCAUAAUGCCUUGUAUGAUGAUGCUAGAAGUUGGGCUAGGCGAUUUGCUUCUUCUGUUAAUAGAUGCUUACCUGGAAUCAUGAAUCCUCAUUCCAAAUUCGUUCAAAUAUGGACUAAGUUCUUUGCCGUCUCAAGCUUGUUAGCCAUUUUUAUAGACCCCCUCUUCUUCUUCAUCAUAUUAGUCCAAAAGGUAUAUAUAUGUUUCUUCUUGGAUCUCUUUCUUCCGUUUGAAUAUCUUUUUGACCAUCUUUCUGACUGCAGAACAACAAAUGCAUAGUGAUUGAUUGGCCGAUUGCUACCGCAUUUGUUAUUGUUAGAACUCUGACGGAUGUUAUAUUCUUUGCUAACAUGCUGCUUCAGGUGUGUUUCCUUUUACUCCAUUUAUUGUAAGCAAAGUCGGUACUGGACAUAGCGAGAUAAAACAUUCGCAUCAGCCCUAAAUUUAAGUGGCUGAUAUGUUUAGAUUAUUCGUCUUUCAAACUGAUUAAGAAAAAUAUAUGUAUUAAUCAUUUACAGGAGCCUGUCCCGGUACACAUCAUUUUACAACCACUAGAAGAUAAUAAUUUUGUACUGUUGUUAUGUCUGUAAAAUCUUAAUGUAAUUUGGCGCAUAGUGAUUGAUUGGCCGAUAGCUACCGUAAUUGUUUCAAACCUCAUAAUCUUAGGCCUGAUUCUUCUUACAAAUAAAUAUUGGUUUACAUUUAAUACAAUUUUUACUUAAUAUUUUGUUGCAGUUCCGACUGGCAUAUGUAGCUCGUGAGUCUACGGUAGUUGGUGCUGGCCAGUUGGUUGAUCGUCCAAAAAAAUUGCUCUCCAUUACUUUCGAGGAUAUUUUAUCGUAGACAUGAUCAUAGUGAUGCCAUUUCCACAGGUUUUGUAAUGUUAAAUACUCAAUACUACCAGUGGCGGAUCUAAUCCGGGGAAAAACAAAAAAAAAAUACUACUAUAUAUUUACAAAAUUACACUAACUAGAAAAUUUCAUGGGCAACUGCCCCACCCACUCACAUAGAUCCGCCCCCGAAUACUACUAUUCGUGUUUUGAGUAUGGUAUUUGGAAGAUGUUCAUCUACCACAAAUCUUACCUUUCCAUUUUUUUUUUGGCCUUACAGGUAUUGGUACUAUCGGUAAUACCAGCACAGUUAGCCAUAUCCGGGACAAACUAUGCGAAAAACCUUUUACGUACUGGAAUUCUUGUCCAAUACAUUCCAAAGCUAUAUAGACUUCUACCACUGCUUGCUGGACAAACACCAACAGGCCUCAUAUUUGAGUCAGCUUGGGCUAACUUUGUUAUUAAUCUUCUCACCUUCAUGCUUGCUGGACAUGUUGUCGGCUCUUGCUGGUAUCUUUUUGGUCUGCAGGUACAUUCAAUUUAAUGCAUGUCUUGUCCAAAUGCAAUAGAAGACUUUUGUAUAUAUUUCAAGUGAUUUAUUGAUUCUUCUCAUUGCCUUCUACCUCUUCUCUUGUUGUGUUUGGUCGUUUUAGAGAGUUAAUCAAUGCCUUCGAAAUGCUUGUGGUCAUUCUGGGCGUGAAUGUAGAGGUCUUAUUGAUUGUGGCCAUGGAAAUAGUAAUAUAUCAGCAUCCCUACGAGCUAUCUGGAGAAAUAGUGCGAGUGCAAAUGCUUGUUUCCAAGAAGAUGGGUUUUCUUACGGAAUAUAUUUGAAAAUGGUCAAUCUUACAACUCAUACUAGUCUCUUGACAAGAUAUAGUUACUCUUUGCUAUGGGGAUUUCAGGUAAUGGUUUACUCAAACAAUGUUUGGUAACUGUCCUAGCUACAGAAUUGCUAUGUUGCUAUCCAUUGCGUACUUAAUUUUGGCUAUGAGUUGUGUCCCAUAGCUACAAACUAUGUUAGUUAAUUCUUGUAGUGGUGGAACUCUUAAACUGACGUCAUGUUCUUAUAACUUUCAAAGCAAAUUAGCACGCUUGCUGGAAACCAAGUCCCAAGCUACUUUUUCCCUGAGGUCGUUUUUACUAUGGGUAUCAUCGGACUGGGACUUUUGCUUUUCGCGCUUCUUAUUGGUAAUAUGCAAAACUUCCUUCAGUCUCUCGGUAAAAGGAGCUUGGAAAUGACGCUAAGACGGCGUGAUGUAGAGCAGUGGAUGAGCCAUAGACGGUUGCCAGAAGGGAUAAGAAAGUAUGUGUACUAUAUCUAUGCCUAAUCAUUUAAACUUUGUCUAGUCUUAGUAAAAAACUUUAACUCACACUCAAAAACUAACUUCACUUAUAAAUUGCACGAAUUUUAUUUUUUCUCAGCCAUGUGAGACUUUAAUAAAUCAUCUUGAAAUGUGGGUGGGAAAUAAUUUAAGGGAAACGGGUCAAAUCCAACAUCUCGGUCGGAUAUACCGCAACAAGAUGUGCUAGUUAUACAUACUACAUAAAUAAAAGAAAAAUUGUUUAUGUCCAAAAGUAAUUUUUGGCUUUAUCAUUAGCUUUGAUACAAUAUUAGUAAUAUACCUAACUUACAUCCAAAAACUAAUUCAAGGUCUAUGAUUGUUACAUCACGUAUACAUAUAUUGCCCAAAUACCUGUUGUCUAUGGGAUGUGUGACUUUAGAGCAUCUCCAAUAUGACACUCUAUUUUGAAGUUUCCACAACUCUAUAUUUGAAGUUUAAAGGUGUUAUUCUCCAAAAAGAAAAUUUCAAAUUUAACAUCAAAACUAUUUGUAUUUUAUAUUAUGAUCUUUUUAUUUGUCAUAAUUAAUUUAUAUUCAUAAGAUUUUUGUAAAUAACUGGCACACGUAUAAAAAUAUUACAACAAUAUUAAUUAAUAAAAUGUUACAUUAAAAUAUCAGAUUUUAAAUAGAAAUACAUAGUUGAUAUUAAACUCAAGAAAAAUACCACAUUAUUCCAAAAAAUUAUAUCUGUAAUGGAUAUAUGAUCAAUGGGUGCAUUUCGAAGUUAAAAAUGACUUUCUUUAUUUUUAAUUUGUAACAAGCUAAAAAUUAUUGAAAUCAGGUGAUAUUAAUACUUGUAAAUACAUUAGAUUUUAACAAGAAAGUAAAAGAGGAAAAUAAAAUAUUGCUAAAAGAUUUAACUUCUAUCGAUGAUAUUAAUACUUGUGAAUACAUUCGAUCUGAACAAGAAAGAAUCGUACAAAAAAAUAUCAAAAUAACAACAAUGAUCUUCGGUUACACAAAAUUUGUUUGGAAAAUAUUUUGGAGGUUUCAGAUUAAUUUUUGCUGAAUAUUAGUGUUAUUGUAAUAUUUAAAUUUGUAUAAUAACUAUGCAUAUUUUUAUUUUUUAAAGCUUUUUUUUGUUAAGCUUCGUUUGUAUAUUGUUGUUGUCUAAAUCUACUAUUAAAAUAUUUAAAUCUUAUUUUAAUUUUUUAUUUAAUUUUAUGUGUAAAACUUAAAUUUAUACAAAAUUGAAAUAUUUAUGAUAUUUAAAAAUUUUAAGGAUUAAAAAAAUAAACGAGAAAUUAUUUAAGAAUCAUAAAUGUGAUGUGUAAUUGAGGGGACCAAGAUAUGAAACUUCAAAUUUAAAGUUUUGAUUAGUGAAACUUCAAAUUUAAAGUUUCACUCUUCAAAACUUCUUAUUUCUUUUGGAGAUGCUUUUAAUACUUUGCUCCUUUGUUUCCUUGAGAGUUCCAUUUUCUCAGGCUAUGUAUUUUCAUAACCAAAAUGUUAAAACGUUUAGGAGGGUGCGAGAGGCAGAGCGUUUCAAUUGGGCUGCUACCAGAGGAGUUAACGAAGAGUUGCUCUUUGAGAAUAUGCCUGAUGACCUUCAAGGAGAUAUAAGAAGACACCUCUUCAUAUUUCUCAAGAAAGUAAACAUCAGAAUCCAUUUCUCUCUGUUGAAGUUAUAUGUACUUAACUUAGACCCCAAUUCCUUAGUGCUUUUGCAUAGUGACUAUCAGUGAAACUGAAGUCUGAAGUAAUAUACGGGGAUCACAGUAUAAGCAUUCCUGAAACUAUGGUGAAGGAUAUGGACUAAAGAAGUUGAUGGGUUUACUUUACAGGUAAGAAUAUUUUCGUUGAUGGAUGAAUCAAUUUUAGACUCAAUACGUGAGAGGCUGAGACAGAGGACAUACAUAAGUGGUAGCACAGUCUUGCACCGCUGGGGUCCGGUGGAGAAAAUAGUUUUCGUAGUGAGAGGUGAGAUGGAGAGCACUGGAGAAGACGGUUCUGUUCUUCCUCUAUCAGAAGGAGACGUUUGUGGUGAAGAACUUCUCACUUGGUGCCUUGAACGCUCUGCUGUAAACCUCGGUAUGUCUCUUUCACUAUCAAGAUCUUGGCGUUUAACCAGUAUAUAUAUUAUAUAUUCAUGAAGUUGAUUGACCCACUUGAGAGAUGAUUAAAAACCUUGAUCAUGAUAAAUCUGUAGAUGGGAGGAUGCUUUCCAAGGGAUUGCUUAGCAGCAGAAAUGUUAAGUGUGUGACAAACGUGGAGGCGUUUUCGCUGAGUGCAGCAGACCUUGAGGAUGUAACGAGCUUGUUCUCGAGAUUCUUAAGGAGCCAUCGAGUCCAAGGAGCCAUAAGAUACGAGUCUCCUUAUUGUAGGCUACGAGCAGCUACGCAGAUUCAAGUGGCUUGGAGAUACAGAAAGAGACGGCUCCAGAAGUUAAGCACUGCUCAAAAGAAACAAUAUUCGUCAGAGUUAAUCCAAAAAGACAUGGCGAAAACAUAGAAAGAGAUGCAAGAUAACUGCUUCAUUUUAUUCACAACAUGUAUUUCAUUUUGCCGCUAAAGUGCUAGAUUUAAACCAAACCUGGAGAACAUAAGUGGCUAAUGUCUAAAAGGAACUCUGUAUUUAUCCUCGAUGUAUUCUGUAAGGAACGCAGCGACAUUUUCCUUCGUCCAUGUAUUUUUGGAUGUGGCGGAGUUGAGGCUACAAGCCAUCUACUUGUCCACACCUGCCCUGUACAACGACCGAUCAUAUUAUGACACAUCGGCAUUUUAGUUAAUUAUUUUCAAAAAUGACAAUAUUUCCAAAAAAAUGUUUACAUUAAAAUAAAAUAAAAAUAAAUAUCAAAUAAGGUAAACUCCUAAAAUUUUGUAAAAAGAUAAUUAAAUUAAAAUAAUAUCUAUAAUAAUAUAAUUUUUGAAAUUUAAAAUCAAAAAAACAAUGAUAGUAAUUAAUUCUAAAAUGCCAAAAUUUCAAAUAAUUAUAACAAUAUAAAUUUAACUCACGAUUCUCAAAAUUUUGGCUAUAAAAAUUAUUGAAAAUAUUCACAAAAUUGAGGCUAUAAGCGUCCACAUAGGAUUUAAAACAACUACUCAUAUUAUGACACAUCAGCAUUUUAGUUUAUUAAUUUCAAAAAUGUAAAUAUUUACAAAAAUGUUUAAUUUAAAAUAAAAUAAAAAUAAAUAUCAAAUAAGGUAAACUGUUAAAUGUAAAAAAAAAUAUAACUAAAUUAACUUAAUACCUAUAAGAAUAUAAUUUUUGAAAUUUAAAAUCAAAUAAAAUAAU
Brassica rapa (field mustard) is the source of this 6850-nucleotide long non-coding RNA. RefSeq lists it as uncharacterized. Lineage: Eukaryota; Viridiplantae; Streptophyta; Magnoliopsida; Brassicales; Brassicaceae. The record is from RefSeq and is a predicted model, not a curated record.